This 408-nucleotide ribosomal RNA is filed under the name uncultured bacterium. RNAcentral's name for it is "partial 16S ribosomal RNA". It matches the Rfam family "Bacterial small subunit ribosomal RNA", at positions 28 to 526 of the family's 1533-position model. The record is from RNAcentral.
GACGAACGCUGGCGGCGUGCCUAAUACAUGCAAGUCGACCUUAGUGGCUAACGGGUGAGUAACACGUGGGUAACCUGCCCAUCAGAGGGGGAUAACACUAUGAAACAUGUGCUAUUACCGUAUACUGAUGGAUGGACCGGUGGUGCAUUAGCUAGUUGGUGAGGUAACGGCUCACCAAGGCCACGAUGCAUAGCCGACCUGAGAGGGUGAUCAGGCACACUGGAACUGAGACACGGUCCAGACUCCUACGGGAGGCAGCAGUGGGGAAUAUUGGACAAUGGGCGAAAGCCUGAUCCAGCCAUGCCGCGUGUGUGAAGAAGGUCUUCGGAUUGUAAAGCACUUUAAGUUGGGAGGCGUUACCAACAGAAUAAGCACCGGCUAACUUCGUGCCAGCAGCCGCGGUAAUUC